UAACCUGCCCAAUGAGGAAUUUAAUGGCCGCAGUAUUUUGACUGUGCAAAGGUAGCAUAAUCAUUAGUUUCUUAAUUAGAAACUGGAAUGAAAGGUUGGACGAGAAAAUAACUGUCUCUUAAUAAAUUUUUUAGAAUUUUAUUUUUAAGUUAAAAAGCUUAAAUAAAUUUAAAAGACGAGAAGACCCUAUAGAGUUUUAUUAAUUUUAUAAUGAAAUUAUUAUUUAGAAAUUUAUUUAAUUUUUAUUAUAUAAUUAAUUUGAUUGGGGUGAUUAAAAAAUUUAAAUAACUUUUUUUUUAUUUAACCAUUAAUUUAUGAAUUAUUGAUCCAUUUUUAUGAUUAUAAGAUUAAAUUACCUUAGGGAUAACAGCGUUAUUUCUUUUUAGAGUUCUAAUCGAUAAAGAAGUUUGCGACCUCGAUGUUGGAUUAAAAUUAAUUUUUGGUGUAGAAGCUAAAAUAUUAGGUCUGUUCGACCUUUAAAAUUUUACAUGAUCUGAGUUUAAACCGGUGUGAGCCAGGUUGGUUUCUAUCUUUAAAAAGAUAAUUAUAUUUUAGUACGAAAGGACCAAGUAUUAUAAAAAUUUUAU
Molecule: ribosomal RNA, 587 nt
Filed under: Drusilla canaliculata
Lineage: Eukaryota; Metazoa; Arthropoda; Insecta; Coleoptera; Staphylinidae
Description: partial 16S ribosomal RNA
Rfam family: Bacterial large subunit ribosomal RNA
Source: RNAcentral